CCUACGGGUGGCAGCAGUGAGGAAUAUUGGUCAAUGGUCGGGAGACUGAACCAGCCAAGCCGCGUGAGGGAGGAAGGUACAGAGUAUCGUAAACCUCUUUUGUCAGGGAACAAAGACUGGGACGCGUCCCCGGAUGAGUGUACCUGAAGAAAAAGCAUCGGCUAACUCCGUGCCAGCCGCCGCGGUAAUACGGGGGAUGCGAGCGUUAUCCGGAUUUAUUGGGGUUAAAGGGUGCGCAGGCGGUUUGUUAAGUCAGCGGUCAAAGCCCGGGGCUCAACCCCGGCCCGCCGUUGAAACGGGCAGGCUCGAGUUGGAGAGAGGUAUGCGGAAUGCGCGGUGUAGCGGUGAAAUGCAUAGAUAUCGCGCAGAACGCCGAUUGCGAAGGCAGCAUGCCGGCUCCACACUGACGCUGAGGCACGAAAGCGUGGGUAUCGAACAGGAUUAGAUACCCUGGUAGUC
This 459-nucleotide ribosomal RNA is filed under the name uncultured bacterium. RNAcentral describes it as "partial 16S ribosomal RNA". It matches the Rfam family "Bacterial small subunit ribosomal RNA", at positions 338 to 795 of the family's 1533-position model. The record is from RNAcentral.